GGGCGCUUGGCACAGGGGUAGCGCGCACGCUUCGCAUGCUUACGUAAUGCGUGAGGUCGUGGGUUCAAUUCCCACAGUGUCCA
Non-coding RNA from Schizophyllum amplum, 83 nucleotides. The record is from the annotation of a GenBank genome assembly. NCBI's taxonomy places the organism in Eukaryota, Fungi, Basidiomycota, Agaricomycetes, Agaricales, Schizophyllaceae.